UUAGACCAGAAAAGCUGGGGCGGUCUGUACGCAGUGCUGGCUGGCCAGGCAAACUUGAUACUUCCUCAGGAAGACUUCACAAAGGAGCUCCAGGCUUCAUAUGGUGAAACUUUCUCUGGGAAAGAAAGCAGCUCAGAGUCCCACACAGAAAAUUCUUCAGCUGGAAGGAUGUCAGAAAGAUGGAUUUCCAAAGCCAACCAUUUCCUGUACCAUGUGGAUCUCUUCAAGCAGAGCCUCAUCUUUCAAUUUCAGCUACAUGAGAGAGGAAGGAAGAGAAGAACAUGUCAUACUUGAUAUACCUAUGUGGCUUUGAAGAUCCCUCAUUUGUGGGGCCACAGCUAAAGAACAUAGUUCCUUGGAAUGGAAUUGGUUCUUCCUAUAUUCCCUAUUUCAUGAAAACUCCAUUAAAAGACCUUAGAACAUUGUGCUGGUUAAAUGGAUAUGUUUCCUUUGUGAGAAUUCAUCAAGCAAUGUGAACACUCGUGAUUUAUACAUUUUUUUGGUAAAAUAACUUUAUUAAAGUUUAUUUUUUUUAUUUUU
This is a non-coding RNA of Microcebus murinus (gray mouse lemur), 540 nucleotides long. The record is from RefSeq and is a predicted model, not a curated record. NCBI's taxonomy places the organism in Eukaryota, Metazoa, Chordata, Mammalia, Primates, Cheirogaleidae.